RNAcentral lists this ribosomal RNA (468 nucleotides) under uncultured bacterium. RNAcentral's name for it is "partial 16S ribosomal RNA". It matches the Rfam family "Bacterial small subunit ribosomal RNA", at positions 28 to 507 of the family's 1533-position model. The record is from RNAcentral.
GACGAACGCUGGCGGCGUGCUUAACACAUGCAAGUCGAACGGAAAGGCCCUGCUUUUGUGGGGUGCUCGAGUGGCGAACGGGUGAGUAACACGUGAGUAACCUGCCCUUGACUUUGGGAUAACUUCAGGAAACUGGGGCUAAUACCGGAUAGGAGCUCCUGCUGCACGGUGGGGGUUGGAAAGUUUCGGCGGUUGGGGAUGGACUCGCGGCUUAUCAGCUUGUUGGUGGGGUAGUGGCUUACCAAGGCUUUGACGGGUAGCCGGCCUGAGAGGGUGACCGGCCACAUUGGGACUGAGAUACGGCCCAGACUCCUACGGGAGGCAGCGGUGGGGAGUAUUGCACAAUGGGCGGAAGCCUGAUGCAGCAACGCCGCGUGCGGGAUGACGGCCUUCGGGUUGUGAACCGCUUUCGCCUGUGACGAAGCGUGAGUGACGGUAAUGGGUAAGGAAGCACCGGCUAACUACGUG